This is a non-coding RNA of Mycena latifolia, 94 nucleotides long. The record is from the annotation of a GenBank genome assembly. Lineage: Eukaryota; Fungi; Basidiomycota; Agaricomycetes; Agaricales; Mycenaceae.
GGCCCGGUGGUGAAACGGUAUCACAUCCCUUUCUCAUAAAAUUUGCUUCCGAAGAUAUGUUGGGAGGUUUCUUGUUCGAAUCAAGGUCAGGCCG